RNAcentral lists this ribosomal RNA (1341 nucleotides) under uncultured bacterium. Its description in RNAcentral is "partial 16S ribosomal RNA". It matches the Rfam family "Bacterial small subunit ribosomal RNA", at positions 28 to 1381 of the family's 1533-position model. The record is from RNAcentral.
GACGAACUCUGGCGGCGUGCUUAACACAUGCAAGUCGAACGGUAAGGCUCCAGCUUGCUGGGGUACACGAGUGGCGAACGGGUGAGUAACACGUGGGUGACCUGCCCUGCACUUCGGGAUAAGCCUGGGAAACUGGGUCUAAUACCGGAUAGGACCGCACCGUGAGGGUGUGGUGGAAAGUUUUUUCGGUGUGGGAUGGGCCCGCGGCCUAUCAGCUUGUUGGUGGGGUAAUGGCCUACCAAGGCGGCGACGGGUAGCCGGCCUGAGAGGGUGGACGGCCACAUUGGGACUGAGACACGGCCCAGACUCCUACGGGAGGCAGCAGUGGGGAAUAUUGCACAAUGGGCGGAAGCCUGAUGCAGCGACGCCGCGUGGGGGAUGACGGCCUUCGGGUUGUAAACUCCUUUCACCAUCGACGAAGGGUUUCUGACGGUAGAUGGAGAAGAAGCACCGGCUAACUACGUGCCAGCAGCCGCGGUAAUACGUAGGGUGCGAGCGUUGUCCGGAAUUACUGGGCGUAAAGAGCUCGUAGGUGGUUUGUCGCGUCGUCUGUGAAAUUCCGGGGCUUAACUCCGGGCGUGCAGGCGAUACGGGCAUAACUUGAGUACUGUAGGGGAGACUGGAAUCCCUGGUGUAGCGGUGAAAUGCGCAGAUAUCAGGAGGAACACCGGUGGCGAAGGCGGGUCUCUGGGCAGUAACUGACGCUGAGGAGCGAAAGCAUGGGGAGCGAACAGGAUUAGAUACCCUGGUAGUCCAUGCCGUAAACGGUGGGCGCUAGGUGUGGGUUUCCUUCCACGGGAUCCGUGCCGUAGCUAACGCAUUAAGCGCCCCGCCUGGGGAGUACGGCCGCAAGGCUAAAACUCAAAGGAAUUGACGGGGGCCCGCACAAGCGGCGGAGCAUGUGGAUUAAUUCGAUGCAACGCGAAGAACCUUACCUGGGCUUGACAUAUACAGGAUCGCGCCAGAGAUGGUGUUUCCCUUGUGGCUUGUAUACAGGUGGUGCAUGGUUGUCGUCAGCUCGUGUCGUGAGAUGUUGGGUUAAGUCCCGCAACGAGCGCAACCCUUGUCUUAUGUUGCCAGCACGUUGUGGUGGGGACUCGUAAGAAACUGCCGGGGUUAACUCGGAGGAAGGUGGGGAUGACGUCAAAUCAUCAUGCCCCUUAUGUCCAGGGCUUCACACAUGCUACAAUGGUCGGUACAGUAGGUUGCCAGUCCGUGAGGGCGAGCUAAUCCCGCAAAGCCGGUCUCAGUUCGGAUCGGGGUCUGCAACUCGACCCCGUGAAGUCGGAGUCGCUAGUAAUCGCAGAUCAGCAACGCUGCGGUGAAUACGUUCCCGGGCCU